RNAcentral lists this ribosomal RNA (460 nucleotides) under uncultured bacterium. RNAcentral's name for it is "partial 16S ribosomal RNA". It matches the Rfam family "Bacterial small subunit ribosomal RNA", at positions 338 to 795 of the family's 1533-position model. The record is from RNAcentral.
CCUACGGGAGGCAGCAGUGAGGAAUAUUGGUCAAUGGACGCAAGUCUGAACCAGCCAUGCCGCGUGCAGGAAGACUGCCCUAUGGGUUGUAAACUGCUUUUGUACGGGGGUAAACGCAGAUACGCGUAUCUGUCUGAAAGUAUUGUACGAAUAAGGAUCGGCUAACUCCGUGCCAGCAGCCGCGGUAAUACGGAGGAUCCAAGCGUUAUCCGGAUUUAUUGGGUUUAAAGGGUGCGUAGGUGGUCGGAUAAGUUAGUUGUGAAAUCCUGAGGCUCAACUUAAAAAUUGCCAUUGAUACUGUUAGGCUUGAGUGUAGUUGAGGUAGGCGGAAUGUGUGGUGUAGCGGUGAAAUGCUUAGAGAUCAGACAGAACACCGAUUGCGAAGGCAGCUUACCAAGCUACUUCUGACGUUGAGGCACGAAAGCGUGGGGAUCAAACAGGAUUAGAUACCCUAGUAGUC